RNAcentral lists this ribosomal RNA (1020 nucleotides) under Lactococcus lactis subsp. lactis. RNAcentral describes it as "bacterial SSU rRNA". It matches the Rfam family "Bacterial small subunit ribosomal RNA", at positions 60 to 1060 of the family's 1533-position model. The record is from RNAcentral. Lineage: Bacteria; Bacillati; Bacillota; Bacilli; Lactobacillales; Streptococcaceae.
UGCAGCGCUGAAGGUUGGUACUUGUACCGACUGGAUGAGCAGCGAACGGGUGAGUAACGCGUGGGGAAUCUGCCUUUGAGCGGGGGACAACAUUUGGAAACGAAUGCUAAUACCGCAUAAAAACUUUAAACACAAGUUUUAAGUUUGAAAGAUGCAAUUGCAUCACUCAAAGAUGAUCCCGCGUUGUAUUAGCUAGUUGGUGAGGUAAAGGCUCACCAAGGCGAUGAUACAUAGCCGACCUGAGAGGGUGAUCGGCCACAUUGGGACUGAGACACGGCCCAAACUCCUACGGGAGGCAGCAGUAGGGAAUCUUCGGCAAUGGACGAAAGUCUGACCGAGCAACGCCGCGUGAGUGAAGAAGGUUUUCGGAUCGUAAAACUCUGUUGGUAGAGAAGAACGUUGGUGAGAGUGGAAAGCUCAUCAAGUGACGGUAACUACCCAGAAAGGGACGGCUAACUACGUGCCAGCAGCCGCGGUAAUACGUAGGUCCCGAGCGUUGUCCGGAUUUAUUGGGCGUAAAGCGAGCGCAGGUGGUUUAUUAAGUCUGGUGUAAAAGGCAGUGGCUCAACCAUUGUAUGCAUUGGAAACUGGUAGACUUGAGUGCAGGAGAGGAGAGUGGAAUUCCAUGUGUAGCGGUGAAAUGCGUAGAUAUAUGGAGGAACACCGGUGGCGAAAGCGGCUCUCUGGCCUGUAACUGACACUGAGGCUCGAAAGCGUGGGGAGCAAACAGGAUUAGAUACCCUGGUAGUCCACGCCGUAAACGAUGAGUGCUAGAUGUAGGGAGCUAUAAGUUCUCUGUAUCGCAGCUAACGCAAUAAGCACUCCGCCUGGGGAGUACGACCGCAAGGUUGAAACUCAAAGGAAUUGACGGGGGCCCGCACAAGCGGUGGAGCAUGGUGGUUUAAUUCGAAGCAACGCGAGAACCUUACCCGGUCUUGACAUACUCGUGCCAUUCCUAGAAGAAUAGGAAGUUCUUUCUGGACACGGGAAAACAGUGGGUGGCAUGGGUUGUCGUCAGCU